UGGGGAAUAUUGCGCAAUGGGGGAAACCCUGACGCAGCAACGCCGCGUGAUUGAAGAAGGCCUUCGGGUUGUAAAGAUCUUUAAUUCGGGACGAAAAAAAUGACGGUACCGAAAGAAUAAGCUCCGGCUAACUACGUGCCAGCAGCCGCGGUAAUACGUAGGGAGCAAGCGUUAUCCGGAUUUACUGGGUGUAAAGGGCGCGCAGGCGGGCUUGCAAGUUGGGAGUGAAAUCCCGGGGCUCAACCCCGGAACUGCUUUCAAAACUGUGAGUCUUGAGUGAUGGAGAGGCAGGCGGAAUUCCCAGUGUAGCGGUGAAAUGCGUAGAUAUUGGGAGGAACACCAGUGGCGAAGGCGGCCUGCUGGACAUUAACUGACGCUGAGGCGCGAAAGCGUGGGGAGCAAACAGG
Molecule: ribosomal RNA, 407 nt
Filed under: uncultured bacterium
Lineage: Bacteria
Description: bacterial SSU rRNA
Rfam family: Bacterial small subunit ribosomal RNA
Source: RNAcentral